CAGCCGCCGCGGGAAUACGUAGGGUGCGAGCGUUAAUCGGAAUUACUGGGCGUAAAGCGUGCGCAGGCGGUUAUAUAAGACGGAUGUGAAAUCCCCGGGCUCAACCUGGGACCUGCAUUUGUGACUGUAUAGCUAGAGUACGGUAGAGGGGGAUGGAAUUCCGCGUGUAGCAGUGAAAUGCGUAGAUAUGCGGAGGAACACCGAUGGCGAAGGCAAUCCCCUGGACCUGUACUGACGCUCAUGCACGAAAGCGUGGGGAGCAAACAGGAUUAGAUACCCCAGUAGUCCCUGUCUCUUAUAA
RNAcentral lists this ribosomal RNA (301 nucleotides) under uncultured bacterium. RNAcentral describes it as "partial 16S ribosomal RNA". It matches the Rfam family "Bacterial small subunit ribosomal RNA", at positions 509 to 809 of the family's 1533-position model. The record is from RNAcentral.